This 468-nucleotide ribosomal RNA is filed under the name uncultured bacterium. RNAcentral describes it as "partial 16S ribosomal RNA". It matches the Rfam family "Bacterial small subunit ribosomal RNA", at positions 28 to 507 of the family's 1533-position model. The record is from RNAcentral.
GACGAACGCUGGCGGCGUGCUUAACACAUGCAAGUCGAACGAAGAAAGGGGAGCUUGCCCCUCUGGAUUAGUGGCGAACGGGUGAGUAACACGUGAGCAAACUGCCCCUGACUCCGGAAUAACUACUGGAAACUGUAGCUAAUACCGGAUAUGCGCCGAACAGGCAUCUGGAUCGGUGGUGAAGAACUGCGGUCAGGGAUAGUCUCGCGGCCUAUCAGCUUGUUGGUCAAGUAACGGCGCACCAAGUCGACGACGGGUAGGCGGCCUGAGAGGUGGACCGGCCACAUUGGGACUGAGACACGGCGCAGACGCCUACGGGCGGCAGCAGUGGGGAGUAUUGCACAAUGGGCGCAAGCCUGAUGCAGCAACGCCGCGUGAGGGAUGACGGCCUUCGGGUUGUAAACCUCUUUUAGCAGGGAAGAAGCGAAAGUGACGGUACCUGCAGAAAAAGCGCCGGCUAACUACGUG